This 253-nucleotide ribosomal RNA is filed under the name uncultured bacterium. RNAcentral describes it as "partial 16S ribosomal RNA". It matches the Rfam family "Bacterial small subunit ribosomal RNA", at positions 524 to 776 of the family's 1533-position model. The record is from RNAcentral.
UACAGAGGUCUCAAGCGUUGUUCGGAUUCAUUGGGCGUAAAGGGUGCGUAGGCGGCGCGGUAAGUCGGGUGUGAAAUCUCGGAGCUUAACUCCGAAACUGCAUUCGAUACUGCCGUGCUUGAGGACUGGAGAGGAGGCUGGAAUUCCCGGUGUAGCGGUGGAAUGCGCAGAUAUCGGGAGGAACACCCGUGGCGAAGGCGGCACUCUGGGACGGUACUGACGCUGAGGUGCGAAAGCGUGGGGAGCAAACAGG